RNAcentral lists this signal recognition particle RNA (99 nucleotides) under bacterium. RNAcentral's name for it is "signal recognition particle sRNA small type". It matches the Rfam family "Bacterial small signal recognition particle RNA". Rfam says of the family: The signal recognition particle (SRP) is a universally conserved ribonucleoprotein involved in the co-translational targeting of proteins to membranes. Archaeal SRP consists of a 7S RNA and homologues of the eukaryotic SRP19 and SRP54 proteins. RNAcentral also lists the same sequence under 2 other names. The record is from RNAcentral.
GGUUGGACCUCGUGCGUUGUCAAAUGGGUAUACCGAGUCAGGUGGGGAACCAAGCAGCUCAAUACAUGCUUUUGACAAGCCACGGGUCAUCUGACCCGG